GUGUCAGCAGCCGCGGUAAUACAGAGGUCUCGAGCGUUGUUCGGAUUCAUUGGGCGUAAAGGGUGCGUAGGCGGCGAGGUAAGUCGGAUGUGAAAUCCCGGGGCUCAACCCCGGAACUGCAUUCGAUACUGCCCCGCUUGAGGACUGGAGAGGAGACUGGAAUUCACGGUGUAGCAGUGAUAUGCGUAGAUAUCGUGAGGAAGACCGGUGGCGAAGGCGGGUCUCUGGACAGUUCCUGACGCUGAGGCACGAAGGCCAGGGGAGCAAACGGGAUUAGAUACCCCGGUAGUCCUGGCAGUAAACGGUGUACAUUUGGUGUGGGAGGAUUCGACCCCUUCCGUGCCGGAGCUAACGCGUUAAAUGUACCGCCUGGGGAGUACGGUCGCAAGAUUAAA
RNAcentral lists this ribosomal RNA (395 nucleotides) under uncultured bacterium. Its description in RNAcentral is "bacterial SSU rRNA". It matches the Rfam family "Bacterial small subunit ribosomal RNA", at positions 505 to 898 of the family's 1533-position model. The record is from RNAcentral.